Molecule: ribosomal RNA, 250 nt
Filed under: uncultured bacterium
Lineage: Bacteria
Description: partial 16S ribosomal RNA
Rfam family: Bacterial small subunit ribosomal RNA
Source: RNAcentral
UACGUAGGUGGCGAGCGUUGUCCGGAAUUACUGGGCGUAAAGGGUGCGUAGGCGGUAAGAUAAGUCAGAUGUGAAAUUCCGGGGCUUAACCUCGGAAUUGCAUUUGAAACUGUGUUACUAGAGUGCAGGAGAGGAAAGCGGAAUUCCUAGUGUAGCGGUGAAAUGCGUAGAUAUUAGGAAGAACACCAGUGGCGAAGGCGGCUUUCUGGACUGUAACUGACGCUGAUGCACGAAAGCGUGGGGAGCAAAC